This 254-nucleotide ribosomal RNA is filed under the name uncultured bacterium. RNAcentral describes it as "partial 16S ribosomal RNA". It matches the Rfam family "Bacterial small subunit ribosomal RNA", at positions 524 to 776 of the family's 1533-position model. The record is from RNAcentral.
UACGGGGGGAGCAAGCGUUGUUCGGAUUUACUGGGCGUAAAGGGCGCGUAGGCGGUCAGUGCAAGUCAGUUGUGAAAUCUCCGAGCUUAACUCGGAACGGUCAACUGAUACUGCUCGACUAGAGUGCGGAAGGGGCAACUGGAAUUCUUGGUGUAGCGGUGAAAUGCGUAGAUAUCGAGAGGAACACCUGCGGCGAAGGCGGGUUGCUGGGCCGACACUGACGCUGAUGCGCGAAAGCCAGGGGAGCGAACGGG